Molecule: long non-coding RNA, 998 nt
Filed under: Nicotiana benthamiana
Lineage: Eukaryota; Viridiplantae; Streptophyta; Magnoliopsida; Solanales; Solanaceae
Description: long non-coding RNA (NBEN_LNC028240)
Source: RNAcentral
GUUGUCGCACAGGUAGCAGCACCAGUGAAUACUAUUGAUGAGCUCACUGAUCUGGAUGGACUGAUUGGUAAGGAGAAAACCAUUGAGCAGCAGACUUUGGCACAGAAUAGUAAUCACAUCUCUGGUCAUUCCAAUGUAUCACCGGAUGCGUCAGUUUCAACAGCCAAAAACCAUGCAGUCAUAAGUAAUGUACAAGCCAUAAUAUCAACUGAACAGAUCGGGACAAUGCAGAAUGGUAGUCCAGCAGUCGUGGAUAUCUCUAGAGUUUCAACUCAGUUGGUUGAAAAAGUUGGACAGCAUGGGCAGCAACAAGCAUUGACAGCUGCGUCAGUUGAUACAACUCCAAAGUUACUGAUAGAAGAUGUGUCUCAAGUCACUGUUACAUCGACAAAUCAGGCUGACAAGGAAAGGGGAGUAUCAACAAUUCAUCAAACCGACUCAAUGCAGCCCAAACUGGUUAGCAGUCGGGGUACAAAGGAUGGUCAGCAACAAUCUUUGGCAGUUGUUACACCUCCAAAGGAUGCUGCAGAAUUGCAACCUCCAGUAUUUGCGUAUAAAGCACAUUCCAAUCAGUUGUUUGAAAUAGAGGAACAGCACGAAACUGUCGCAGCUUUUACUUCUAAUAGCCAAGGUGCAAAGGGUGGACAGACGACUGGACUCGAGAGACACCAAUGCAAUAUAUCAACGCCUGCUCAAUUAAAAAAUACAAAUAGACAACUACAGUCCAAACUUCAAAGUUCUACAACCAUAUCCAAUCAUACUUGGCCAAAGAGAAAGGACCUAGUCAGUAAAUCGAAACUGUAGAAAGACCAACGAGAUUACGAUGAUGAGGAGAGUUAGACCUAGUCAGUAAAUCGAAACUGUGGAAAGACCAACGAGAUUACGAUGAUGAGGAGAGUUGGUGUGAAGGUUUUACUGCUUAUUCAUCGGAAGAAGAUGAUCAAGAAUAUAGUGGAGAGGACAGCGAUGAUUCAGUCAAGCAAAAAUUUCAAAGGAAA